This 482-nucleotide ribosomal RNA is filed under the name uncultured bacterium. Its description in RNAcentral is "partial 16S ribosomal RNA". It matches the Rfam family "Bacterial small subunit ribosomal RNA", at positions 28 to 523 of the family's 1533-position model. The record is from RNAcentral.
GACGAACGCUGGAGGCGUGCUUAACACAUGCAAGUCGAACGAUGAAAUGGAGCUUGCUCCAUGGAUUAGUGGCGAACGGGUGAGUAACACGUGAAUAACCUGCCCUUAAUUUUGGAAUAACCCAGGGAAACCUGGGCUAAUACCGGAUAAGUAAACCCGUGGCAUCACAUGGUUUUGGAAAGUUUUUCGAUUAAGGAUGGAUUCGCGGCCUAUCAGCUUGUUGGUGAGGUAAUGGCUCACCAAGGCGACGACGGGUAGCCGGCCUGAGAGGGUGAACGGCCACACUGGGACUGAGACACGGCCCAGACUCCUACGGGAGGCAGCAGUGGGGAAUAUUGCGCAAUGGACGAAAGUCUGAUGCAGCGACGCCUCGUGAGGGACGAAGGUCUUCGGAUUGUAAACCUCUUUCAGCAGGGACGAAGCGAAAGUGACGGUACCUGCAGAAGAAGCACCGGCUAACUAUGUGCCAGCAGCCGCGGUAA